UUUUCGCAAUGCCCGAAAGGGUGACGAAGCGACGCCGCGUGGGUGAGGAAGGCCUUCGGGUUGUAAAGCCCUGUCAGGAGUUAAGAAAUGUAAGUGCGCUAAUAUCGCAUUUAUUUGACGAAGGCUCCAAAGGAAGCCACGGCUAACUCUGUGCCAGCAGCCGCGGUAAUACAGAGGUGGCAAGCGUUGUUCGGAAUUAUUGGGCGUAAAGAGCACGUAGGUGGGUUUGUAAGUCAGAUGUGAAAGCCUUCUGUUCAACGGAAGAAUUGCAUCUGAAACUGCGAGUCUUGAGUGUAGGAGGGGAGAAUGGAACUUCUGGUGGAGCGGUGAAAUGCGUAGAUAUCAGAAGGAACGCCGGCGGCGAAAGCGAUUCUCUGGCCUAUUACUGACACUCAGUGUGCGAAAGCUAGGGGAGCAAACGGGAUUAGAUACCCCGGUAGUCCUAGCCGUAAACGAUGGGCACUAAGUAGAGGGGUUUUA
This 480-nucleotide ribosomal RNA is filed under the name uncultured anaerobic ammonium-oxidizing bacterium. RNAcentral describes it as "bacterial SSU rRNA". It matches the Rfam family "Bacterial small subunit ribosomal RNA", at positions 363 to 833 of the family's 1533-position model. The record is from RNAcentral.